AGUGAGUGGCAGACACCGGGCCUAGCGCUCCGGGUCGCGCCGAGCCGAGCCGAGCCGAGCCGGCGGAGCCUCUGGAAUCACCCUGGUCGCUGUUCCUGAGCAGCUGCAGAGCAUCGAGGGCUGGAGAGGAGCACAUACUGUCCAUGGAGCUGGUGGUCAAGGUGGACAGGGGGCGGUGGUGAUGGCGCAGUUUGACACUGAAUACCAGCGCCUAGAGGCCUCCUAUAGUGAUUCACCCCCAGGGGAGGAGGACCUGUUGGUGCACGUCGCCGAGGGGAGCAAGUCACCUUGGCACCAUAUUGAAAACCUUGACCUCUUCUUCUCUCGAACGUUUAUAAUCUGCACCAGAAGAAUGGCUUCACAUGUAUGCUCAUCGGGGAGAUCUUUGAGCUCAUGCAGUUCCUCUUUGUGGUUGCCUUCACCACCUUUCUGGUCAGCUGCGUGGACUAUGACAUCCUAUUUGCCAACAAGAUGGUGAACCACAGUCUUCACCCUACCGAACCUGUCAAGGUCACUCUGCCAGACGCCUUUUUGCCUGCUCAAGUCUGUAGUG
Molecule: small RNA, 553 nt
Filed under: Pongo abelii (Sumatran orangutan)
Lineage: Eukaryota; Metazoa; Chordata; Mammalia; Primates; Hominidae
Description: processed transcript
Source: RNAcentral